AAAUCCUUGGUGUGUCAUCGAGGAUAAGGUAAGGGAAAAUAAUGAUAUUACCUUACUAUUAGUGUCGUCCAAAACUCGUGCCAGAAGACUCGGUAAGGCGAGAGACGCAAACGUUAAUCAUCUUGAUCAGGCGUAAAGGGUGUGUAGGCUGCUUUAGCAUCUUAGAUGGAAAAAAAUAAAGCUAGAAUCUAAAGGAGGUUAAAACAAUGCCUCUUUUUUACAGGUGUACGAACCUUAGAUAAGAAGUAGAGUGUUAAAGGCGAAGGCUUUUUUCCAAUAAAGAUUGACGCUGAGAAACGAAGGAGAGGGCAGAAAAAAGGAUUAGAGACCCUUGUAUUCCUCUCUGUCAACGAUGAAUGGUAGUCAUGAGGUAGAAAUAACCUCGAGGCGAUGUUAACACGUAAAACCAUUCCGCCUUGUGAGUACGACUGCAAAGUUGAAAACAAAAAAAUUAGUCGGUUUCG
Molecule: ribosomal RNA, 464 nt
Filed under: Fuscoporia ferruginosa
Lineage: Eukaryota; Fungi; Basidiomycota; Agaricomycetes; Hymenochaetales; Hymenochaetaceae
Description: partial small subunit ribosomal RNA
Rfam family: Bacterial small subunit ribosomal RNA
Source: RNAcentral